UGACUGUUUUCUUCAUGACCAUCAUCGUUGGUCUGGUUCUUCAAAUCAAGAAACUUCAGAAAGCGGAUGAAGAACAAUCUACACAACUGGGUGGGAUCCCUGACUCUGAUGAGUUGAACUACACCACUGUGACUUUUAAUCGACAAGGAAGAAGAAGAGAGCUGGAGCCAAAUGUUGUCUAUGCUGCUACCAGAUAGACUGAAGGAGGAAACAUAACAACAGCUCAAUGAAGAACUGAUGCUUGGACUUCUGGGAGAAGUUGU
Molecule: long non-coding RNA, 263 nt
Organism: Melanotaenia boesemani (Boeseman's rainbowfish)
Lineage: Eukaryota; Metazoa; Chordata; Actinopteri; Atheriniformes; Melanotaeniidae
Exons: 3
Source: RefSeq, a predicted model, not a curated record